AUUGAACGCUGGCGGCAGGCUUAACACAUGCAAGUCGAACGGUGGAAGAUAGCUUUCGCCCGGACCUAGCGGCGGACGGGUGGGUAAUGCUUAGCAGUCUGCCUGUUAGUUGGGGGCAACAUCCCGAAGGAGAUGCUAAUACAUCAUACGUCCUAUGGCAGAAAGCAGGGGAGGUUCGUACCGUGCGCUUAGAGCUAAGCCUAAGCCGGAUUAGUUAGGUGGUGGGGUAAAGGCCUACCAAGGCGACGAUCUGUAGCGGGUCUGAAAGGAUGAACCGGCACACUGGGACUGAGACACGGGCCAGACUCCUACGGGAGGGAGCAGUGGGGAAUAUUGGAAAAUGGGGGGAACCCUGAUCCAGCCAUGCCGCGUGUGUGAAGAAGGCCUUAUGGUUGUAAAGCACUUUAAGCGAGGAGGAGGCUACUUUAGUUAAUAACCAGAGAUAGUGGACGUUACUCGCAGAAUAAGCACCGGCUAACUCGGUGCCAGCAGCCGCCGUAA
Molecule: ribosomal RNA, 501 nt
Filed under: uncultured bacterium
Lineage: Bacteria
Description: partial 16S ribosomal RNA
Rfam family: Bacterial small subunit ribosomal RNA
Source: RNAcentral